UACGGAGGGGGCUAGCGUUGUUCGGAAUUACUGGGCGUAAAGGGCGCGCAGGCGGCUGCUCAAGUCAGGCGUGAAAGGCCUGGGCUCAACCCGGGAAUUGCGCUUGAGACUGGGCUGGCUUGAGUGCGGGAGAGGAUGGUGGAAUUCCCAGUGUAGAGGUGAAAUUCGUAGAUAUUCGCAAGAACACCAGUGGCGAAGGCGGCUCACUGGCCCGUAACUGACGCUGAGGCACGAAAGCGUGGGGAGCAAACAGG
RNAcentral lists this ribosomal RNA (254 nucleotides) under uncultured bacterium. RNAcentral's name for it is "partial 16S ribosomal RNA". It matches the Rfam family "Bacterial small subunit ribosomal RNA", at positions 524 to 776 of the family's 1533-position model. The record is from RNAcentral.